This 253-nucleotide ribosomal RNA is filed under the name uncultured bacterium. RNAcentral's name for it is "partial 16S ribosomal RNA". It matches the Rfam family "Bacterial small subunit ribosomal RNA", at positions 524 to 776 of the family's 1533-position model. The record is from RNAcentral.
UACGGAGGGGACUAGCGUUGUUCGGAAUUACUGGGCGUAAAGCGCACGUAGGCGGAUUUGUAAGUCAGGGGUGAAAUCCCGGGGCUCAACCUCGGAACUGCCUUUGAUACUGCAAAUCUCGAGUCCGGAAGAGGUGAGUGGAAUUCCUAGUGUAGAGGUGAAAUUCGUAGAUAUUAGGAGGAAUACCGAUGGCGAAGGCAGGUCUCUGGGCUGACACUGACGCUCAUGCACGAAAGCGUGGGGAGCAAACAGG